UAGCGCGGUGGUCCCACCUGACCCCAUGCCGAACUCAGAAGUGAAACGCCGUAGCGCCGAUGGUAGUGUGGGGCUUCCCCAUGCGAGAGUAGGGAACUACCAGGCA
RNAcentral lists this ribosomal RNA (106 nucleotides) under Escherichia albertii. Lineage: Bacteria; Pseudomonadati; Pseudomonadota; Gammaproteobacteria; Enterobacterales; Enterobacteriaceae. The record is from RNAcentral.